This 506-nucleotide ribosomal RNA is filed under the name uncultured bacterium. RNAcentral describes it as "partial 16S ribosomal RNA". It matches the Rfam family "Bacterial small subunit ribosomal RNA", at positions 28 to 523 of the family's 1533-position model. The record is from RNAcentral.
GUUGAACGCUAACGACAUGCUUAACACAUGCAAGUCGAACGGCAGCACAGUAGUAGCAAUACUAUGGGUGGCGAGUGGCGGACGGGUGAGUAAUACAUAGGAAUCUGCCUUAUAGUGGGGGAUAACCCGGGGAAACUCGGGCUAAUACCGCAUAAUCUCUACGGAGCAAAGUGUGGGACCUUCGGGCCAUACGCUAAAAGAUGAGCCUAUGUCGGAUUAGCUAGUUGGUGGGGUAAAGGCCUACCAAGGCAACGAUCCGUAGCUGGUCUGAGAGGAUGAUCAGCCACACUGGGACUGAGACACGGCCCAGACUCCUACGGGAGGCAGCAGUGGGGAAUAUUGGACAAUGGGCGAAAGCCUGAUCCAGCAAUGCCGUGUGUGUGAAGAAGGCCUUCGGGUUGUAAAGCACUUUUAGUUGGGAAGAAAAGUUCAUGGCUAAUAUCCAUGAAUGCUGACGUUACCAACAGAAAAAGCACUGGCUAACUCUGUGCCAGCAGCCGCCGCGG